Molecule: ribosomal RNA, 475 nt
Filed under: bacterium 2611-S8-01-3
Lineage: Bacteria
Description: bacterial SSU rRNA
Rfam family: Bacterial small subunit ribosomal RNA
Source: RNAcentral
CAGUCGAGCGGAACGAGUUAUCUGAACCUUCGGGGGACGAUAACGGCGUCGAGCGGCGGACGGGUGAGUAAUGCCUAGGAAAUUGCCCUGAUGUGGGGGAUAACCAUUGGAAACGAUGGCUAAUACCGCAUAAUGCCUACGGGCCAAAGAGGGGGACCUUCGGGCCUCUCGCGUCAGGAUAUGCCUAGGUGGGAUUAGCUAGUUGGUGAGGUAAUGGCUCACCAAGGCGACGAUCCCUAGCUGGUCUGAGAGGAUGAUCAGCCACACUGGAACUGAGACACGGUCCAGACUCCUACGGGAGGCAGCAGUGGGGAAUAUUGCACAAUGGGCGCAAGCCUGAUGCAGCCAUGCCGCGUGUGUGAAGAAGGCCUUCGGGUUGUAAAGCACUUUCAGUCGUGAGGAAGGUAGUGUAGUUAAUAGCUGCAUUAUUUGACGUUAGCGACAGAAGAAGCACCGGCUAACUCCGUGCCAGCAG